UCUAUGUCCUUUGAGACACGGAAGUUUGAAAUAUUUCAAGGGUUACCUAUACAAGGACGAGAAAGACGUACAACAGGGCUUUUCUUACGACUUCACCGCUGCUCUGGGAAACUACGCUGCUUGGAACACUAACUACACGGACGCCUGCUGCCUUUCGUUUUCGCUAACUUGUAAUACCCGCUGGGACGAACAUUUGCUUGUUUGGGAACACUCGUUCAACAUCGGUGACUAUUCGCCGUUGUGGCUCAACUACUCUGCUUUUGAACGCCUAUUUUUGUGUUAGCUAUUUUAUCGUGUUUGCGUUGUGUCAAUGUGUGUGAGAUUGUCAGAAACGCAAUACAGCCGCCUUGUCGCAUUUUACUGGUUUGAACAAAGGGGACGUUCGUCUAAAUUCACAGAGGAACUCAAGAAGAAGCCAUGCGAAAUCCUCGACGGGAGACGUUCUAAUGGCCAUUUGAACCCAGAGCUCCGAAAAGUCUACAUACCGCUAAAUGAUGGAGGGGGAUAACACUCACACGGCGGCUCGCUUUUGCCCGGCGGUGGCAUCGCAGCAUGAAAGAGAAGGAUUGGAAGUAGCAGUCACAUCAUAUCUGGUGUGACACGGCCAAUGCAGCAGAAUGGAAAGCAAGGUGCGAGAGAAAAAAUAAAGAACCAGACUUUUGCCACAGUAACUGGGGGGCUUGUCAUUUAGGGCUUGAUGUGUAAGCGACUUACUUCCUACCGCCCGUGUUCUUUGGGAGCCUGUUUGCGACUGUAAGAAGUGUUGCUAUUCCCAGCUCUCCAUUAGACAUCCAGUCGGGUGGGCAAAGGACUUAAAGGAAGGAAGGAAAGCAAUUUGACCCCCGACAGCGCGGUUGGGGAAGAGGGUCUUGAACCAUGUCAGCUCCACUCAGGCUCCACUUCCCCUCUGUGUCCUUCCUAUUUUUUCCCCAGUGCCAAGCCGAAACUUUGAAAACAUUCACCUUAAUAGGACCCAGUCAGCGAGAGCUACUCAUACCGUCCGUCAAACUGUGAUCCGCGGUGUCAGGCCCAAGCCGGACUUUGACAGAAUGUCUCCAAACGAACACCGCGGCGGUGUUUUCCCUGCCCUGCACUCAGUUUCUCGCCGUGUAGUCCUCUGGCUGCUUGGCAUCUCCAUCGCACUUCACCUCCUCUCCCUCUGCUCUGGUGCUUGAUUUCACCUCGUGAAGCACCUCCCCGACAUCGGACUGACAGAUGGUCGCAAGCCGGCCUUAUUGUUGUUUUCCUAAUUUAACUCUCCUCCUAUGCCGCAGGUCACAUUAACGUGGAAAACCAUCAGCGAAACUACAGGAAAUAACAUUUUCUCGCUGGACGUACACACGCAUAUACACACACUGACAACUAAGAUUCAUAAGACUUACACUUAUGUUUCACUUUUUGUAUUUCAGAAUUAAAAUUUGAAAAUUUAUCAUUACUAUUAUGGAUGUAUUUGAUAACCCUCUUUUGACACCAAGGGUCAAAUUGACAAGAAAUAUAAGUACAAAAGCAAAACAAUAACAGAAAAUAAAGUUUCUCCACUGGACAUACACACUGGCAUAAGAUUCAUAAAGCUUAAACACAUGUUCCUUUUUUUAAAAUGUGAAAAAAAAUAUUUUUGAUGUAUUUGAGAACCCUCUUGUUGAGCGUCAUAUUGACCCAAAAAAAAAUGUUACAAAAAAUACGUAAAUCAAAUUUUCCACUGUAGAUAAUGAUUUCUUUUUCUCAUGCUUUUUAGAAUAUAUCCACUUUUUGAUCAUAUUACUUGCACUGUAUGCUGUUUUAAUGGUCUUUUUUAAAAUUUUGUUUGUCAUUUUUAUUGUUUCAUGCUGUUUUGUCUAUUUGUUUUCAAAUGCCUUUAAUCAUGUAAAGCACAUUGGGUUACCUCGUGUAUGAAAUGUGCUGUACAAAUGAAUUUGCUUUGCCGUAACUCUUUUUAGUUUUGUUUUUUUUAAUUAAAAUGUUAAUCAUUAUUUUAAUUGUACAGAAUUUGAUAACCCUCUUGAUAAAUUGCAGGUCAAUUUGAAGGAAACAACAACUAAAAAAAAAAAAGAAAAAAAAAGGGAAAAACUCGACUUUUUCUCCUUGGGUGUUAUAAAAUUAGCAAAUCUAGAAACAACAUUUUGGAAAUUAGGAUUACAUUUAACCUAACAACUUUCCUUUCACCUUUUUAGUCCUCCUUACUUGAAAAAUUUGACAUUGUUUGCCAGAUACCUCACCCUUAAGAAACAAAGAGUAUUUCCAAAGUACACAUGGCGCAACAGAAAACAAAUUCCUGCCUGCUUUGUUUGCCUGCAAGUGUUUUUGAUCCAAAAGAGUUGCCGCGUAUCCUCCCCCAACUCCACACUGCAAAUAAAUGCAAAGAAAAUAAACAGUCGGUUUUCCAAAUUCCCAGUGCUGGACAAUCCCAAGACGUCCGUCCGUCCCUUCUUCUUUACUCUGCCUGAAAUAAUACAACUCAUGUCUGCAAGGCCUGAAUCUGAACGGCAUCGAUCGGGGAUAUUGACCAUUCGCUGGAUACAAUUUGCCAUGUUAUUGCACAGGAUGCCGAAACCACAUCGUUCCUUCUUACUAAAUUAGAAGUUCUCCAGUGAUUCCAAUAACAACCGGUCCAGGAUAUGGUCUGCCGUUCACUCAAUGUCAACCCAGAGAGCGCGAGGAGCUCCGUAGAAAAAAGAUGGCUAAUCGCUUACACAUAAAAGACGUACAUUUACACCGUUACGUUAUCUCGAGUAACAUUUGGCAUUAAUUGUACUAGUAGUUCAGGGGUUUUAAACAUAUGGCCCGCAGGCCGGACCUGGCUUGCAAGGAUGUUCAAUCAGGCCCGCAGGAUCAAUUAAAAGUGAAAAAAUGCACAAAUAAGUAUUAAGUAAUAAGUAUAGUAGUAUAUAAGAUGCAAUUCAUGGAUGGACUGGUUGGAUCAGAGUAGAAGACAAUAUUGUUUUGAUCAGAGAAGAAGAGAACAGCACUCUCAGUCUGUCACUGAGAUAGACCCAACACAGCAGACAGUAUUAUAAUCUGCUUCUUGUGACGACUUUGUUUUUACCCUGGUCUCUACCCCUGCCCCACGCCCACAUUAGCCAAAAUGUCAUUAUCCAAAUGGAGAAAAGUAGAAUUUUCAAUGAAAAAAUGGACCACCUCUUAUUUAUUUUAUAGAAAUGCAAAAUGUGUUUGCAACAAGUUUCGGUUUUGAGGGAAUAUAAUAUUCAAGAUUCUUCACAGCGAAAAAUAUGACGGCUUGCAAGGACAGCUAAGAGGAGCUAAGAUCAACGAAUUGUAGGCGGGUCUGAGGAAACAGCAGUCAACUUUCGUCCAGAGCCAACAAGUCAGUGAAACAGCAGUAAAAGCCAGCUAAUUGCUAAUUGGUAGCGAAAUAGCAUUAGCAUCAAAGCCAUAUUUCGACGGUAACUUUGGAAAACGAUGCACGUUGAAGGCGGUUGAACUUGUAUGUCCAGAGAAGCAACAAGAUUUUGCCGAUGUUAGCCUGACGAGGAAUACUACAGCAGAGAGGAUUUCGGACAUAUGUGAAUGAUAAAAGUAAAUUGCACAUUUGUCUGAGGAAAUCUGAGGUGUUUCAUGAAAUGCUUUGUAAAAGGAAUGUUCAUUAAAUCUCAACAUUUUCCUAAUGUUCUU
Molecule: long non-coding RNA, 3630 nt
Organism: Syngnathoides biaculeatus (alligator pipefish)
Lineage: Eukaryota; Metazoa; Chordata; Actinopteri; Syngnathiformes; Syngnathidae
Exons: 4
Source: RefSeq, a predicted model, not a curated record